Molecule: long non-coding RNA, 982 nt
Organism: Odocoileus virginianus texanus
Lineage: Eukaryota; Metazoa; Chordata; Mammalia; Artiodactyla; Cervidae
Source: RefSeq, a predicted model, not a curated record
UCAGCGCUGUGCGCGGCGGAGGCCCUGGGCGAUGCUCCUGGAGAGCUCCGGGCAGUCCAUCGGGUCCCCGAGGCCCGGCAGUGGCAUCGUCUCCUGUGCCCAGUGAGGCCCUUGGGUUCCCACUGAGGAGGUGCUUCCGAACACUGCUUGAAAGGCAGCCAUCAUGUGGAUGAGGUUCUAAAAGGUUUGUGGAAAGGCUUGUGAGGACUCGGGCUCCAGUCACCAGUUGGGCUCCCAGCCAGAACCCCUAUAGCCACGGGAAUGAGGCCAUUUUGGACGUUUCAGGCAGCUCUGCACCCCAGCCAAUACCAUGGGAAGCAGAAGAACCUUCUAAUCAGUCAACAGAAUUGUGAGAAAUGAACGACCACCACCAACAGCAGUAUUUCCAUUUCAUGAUGCACGUUGAUGAACCUGAAUUCUGGAGCACACCUGAAAAUAUGUUCAUUGAUAGUUGACAUUUCCAGGAAAUUUUAUGUUUUUCUGUGUUUAUUGUUACACUUCUCUAUGCAUAGUUUUGAGAGUUAUGAAUUCUUGCCUAUUCAGGUUUCCCAGACAUCAGCUAGAUUCCCAUAGGACUUGGGAGCUGCCUAAACUAACUGAAUUCCCUCGAGGUCUUCGCUUGAAAGCACUAUCUGAGUCUACCUGUUCUGUCCAUGAGCUUUCCCUGAAAUCAAUGACAGAUGGUCUGUUCCAUCGCUUUUCAUUUGGCGAAAAGUUGCUGUUAUCUCUCAUCCUUGGCUAAGCUGAGACUUUUUCUACCCCCCUCAGCUCCUCAGUUAAUCACUUUGCUUAUCAUGAUCUCUGGUCUUGCCUGCCUCUUCUUACAAGUUUUCAGAAUUCUCAGAACUUUUCUGGCAGUGGAAAUGGUCUCAGUAAUGUUAUCACUGUUGACUUUUAAAGUGAUACCAUAAAUAUAAUUUGACUCUGAAGAGGGAAGAGCAUUCUGUUUAUUUUUUUCCCUUGAAUUUAUUUAUCUUGGAAU